RNAcentral lists this ribosomal RNA (197 nucleotides) under uncultured bacterium. RNAcentral's name for it is "partial 16S ribosomal RNA". It matches the Rfam family "Bacterial small subunit ribosomal RNA", at positions 328 to 539 of the family's 1533-position model. The record is from RNAcentral.
ACGCUCGACACCUACGGGGGCAGCAGUGGGGAAUAUUGCACAAUGGGGGAAACCCUGAUGCAGCGACGCCGCGUGAAGGAUGAAGUAUUUCGGUAUGUAAACUUCUAUCAGCAGGGAAGAAAGUGACGGUACCUGACUAAGAAGCCCCGGCUAACUACGUGCCAACAGCCGCGGUAAUCUGAGCGGGCUGGCAAGGC